AUGCAGGUUUGUUGCUAAGGUUGAGGAUACCUCUGCGUUAGGAGUAUGUAAUAAUUUACUGUACGUUAGGUUAGAUUAGGGAGACUUCCUGUGUUAAAACUGUCUUUAAAUAUUUAUGGUUUAAUAAGUAAUUACAUUAUCCCCAAUCUAUCUCGCAAGCRGCCCGACUGUUUAUUAAAAACAUUGUGAUAUAGAGGUAUAUAUGAUAUAGCCUGCCCAGUGCUGUAAAAAGGUAAAUGGCCGCAGUAUUAUGACUGUGCAAAGGUAGCAUAAUUAAUUGCCCUAUAAUUGAGGGCUUGUUUGAAUGGCUGAACGUGGCUGUGGCAUGAGAUUGGUGAUUUGGUUGAAUUUAAUAUUAUGGGUGCUGAAUCCAUGAUUUGUUAAUAAGACGGAAAGACCCCGGAAUCUUUCGGUUUUGUCUGGGGCAGAUUCGGGGAUUUACCCGAUUUUAGACCCGCGGGUUAAAGGUUUAAGUUACUCCGGGGAUAACAGAGUAAUUGUUUAGGAGAGGUCUUAUCGAUUAAACAGUUUGCUACCUNGAUGUUGACUUGGGUG
This 555-nucleotide ribosomal RNA is filed under the name Lytocestus indicus. RNAcentral's name for it is "partial large subunit ribosomal RNA". The record is from RNAcentral. Lineage: Eukaryota; Metazoa; Platyhelminthes; Cestoda; Caryophyllidea; Lytocestidae.